This is a long non-coding RNA of Actinia tenebrosa (Australian red waratah sea anemone), 748 nucleotides long. RefSeq lists it as uncharacterized. NCBI's taxonomy places the organism in Eukaryota, Metazoa, Cnidaria, Anthozoa, Actiniaria, Actiniidae. The record is from RefSeq and is a predicted model, not a curated record.
GCAAUACAUAUAAGAACAAGAUGGAGGAAUUUGAAGGGAGACGAAAAUUGCUAUUUCCUUACGGCAAGUAACCAUAUCUGGAGAUGAUCAUGAAUGAUUUUCUCUGCUCCCACAGUCUUUUUGAUAGCUGUAGUUGCUGGCAAGUAACCAUAUCUUGAGAUGAUUAUGAAUGAUUUACUCUGCUCCCCCAGUCUUUUUGAUAGCUGUAGUUGCUGGAGACUCCACUUCAGUGAGCAACAUUCAAGAGGCACAUGUGAAAUAUUACAGAUAAGCCAAAGUAAUAGAGUAAAAACAUUAUUAUGUACAACACAUAUAGCACUAAUUUUAAAUUUUGAUGAAAUCGUUUUGCUUCCUUAUCGUACGAUGACCUAUGAUGUCAACUCAUCUUUGUUAUCUAGGUCACUAUGGGUACUAGUUUCCUGACAUAUGCACCUUCAAAAUCAUAGAAAAGAAAUUUGUUCAUAAUUCAAAAAACUUACAAAUAGGGCACGGCUAACUGACAGGUCAGAAAACUGGAGAACUCAGAAAAACUUUAAGAUCACGGCAGAGACCUAACCAAAACCACCUAUGGAUGAUGACCUCAGAGGUGACACAUGAAUCSAUUUGUAUAGGACUCCACAGCUGAUUGCAAUAAAUUAUGGCCAUGGUUUAUCAUGAAAGACUGAAAUAUUUAAUACAAGAAUACUGCUAGACUACUUUACAGUCAGAUAUCUGAGAACCAUUUAUAGCUAACUUUCUCAAAGAUAUU